Molecule: long non-coding RNA, 877 nt
Organism: Etheostoma spectabile (orangethroat darter)
Lineage: Eukaryota; Metazoa; Chordata; Actinopteri; Perciformes; Percidae
Exons: 5
Source: RefSeq, a predicted model, not a curated record
GAACUUCCACUUUCCUUCCUUUGCUUGCCCGCGUUAUGCAGCCAUGUCUAGAGGGGAGGAACUGUGGGGUGAACAACAUGCACAAAGAGAUAGACAAAGCGGGGAGAGGCAUUUAAGAAUAAAACAAUGGUUUGCCUCUGCAUGUGACCCUAGAAAAAGGAAGUCAGGGGAAGAGCAAAACAGUUUAAGAGAGAGCCAGGGCAAGUGGGGAAAGUAACCAAGAAAGGACAUCAGCACACACAUCAGAUGCUUCAUGUUUUACCUUGCGUACAUUAUCAACACAGUGGGUCACACUCACAGUUGUUUCUGUACAAGGAGGCUGACGAGUCGCCGUCUGUGGGUCUGAAAGGCUCUUAGGUCAAGAGAGCAGAGGAGAAGACUCAGAUGGAAAAACUGACACACUUCUAACCAUUGUUGAGGCCUUACCUGUCUGGGCCUCUUUCACAAAUGUUGUCCAUAAUGUCUGAGUUAUUAGAAAACCACCAGAGGACCCACUUUAAAAGGUCCUUUUUCUACUCAACUUCAGGCCCUUUCUCAUACUGCCAUCCAGUGCUAUGGAGACACCCCUCCCACCUCCACUGCAGUGAUUAUUGCACUUCCCUCUCAAUCCUAUAGAUGGCAGCAGUGUACAGAAAACCCCCACCUCUCUCCACUGAUCACCUCCCAUUCCUAUCAACUCAAUGGUGCAGUAGCAAAGCCAAAUCCAGACAGCCAUUAAUAACUUGAGAAAAGUCCUCUCUCUGCUUCAUCCUCAUGUCUCACUUCAUUUGAUCUCAUUUGAACUUCUGACUGGCCAGUAAUUUGCAAUGUAAACUAUUCCUAUCGCAACACCUUCACAACAGCACAACGAAUUUUCAUCACAGAGAGUGUGUGAGAG